This is a long non-coding RNA of Panicum virgatum (switchgrass), 935 nucleotides long. RefSeq lists it as uncharacterized. The record is from RefSeq and is a predicted model, not a curated record. The transcript has 2 exons. Lineage: Eukaryota; Viridiplantae; Streptophyta; Magnoliopsida; Poales; Poaceae.
UGGAUGUUUAACGAAUUUGAAAGCUGGUAGAUGGUAGUUUGCAGAACCCUGGCAGUUUACCUAUUUGUCUAUUCAUUUUCAUAAUAUGCAUGUGUACUACUGCAUGUGUUCUUUUUCUGGCAAAAAAAUACUUUUUCAGUUUCAUAUCUUCUGCAGUUGUGCAGCGGUGUGGAUGAAAAUGCAGCUGGUGCAUGUGCCCAGCUUGUCUUUGCACCCAUUGAUGAAUCUUUUGCUGAUGAUGACGAUUCUGGUUGUUGCCGAUUCUGGAUAUUGAUGCACUGUAGUCUUGUUCUGCUAUGUUUUUUGGAUGUUCAACCUAGAUGUUCUGGAUGUUAGAUCCUUGUUUCUGUAGCGCUCAUACAUAUAUUCGAUUCAAUUUGUCCAUCUCAACAGCUUCUCAGUUCAGGCAGAGGUAGUACAAGUGACGGAGGAGGGUGAAGGCCUCGCCGACCGCUGCGCGCUGGCUACCCACAGCGACUGUGGCCGUCGGAGCUUCGUGCCGUGGCGGAGCAGCGUGCGGCAGCGAGGGCGACCGCGGCCCCCACCUGGACUUCCUGUUCCACCUCAACUUUCACCAUGCCCUGUUAGAAGCUAUCGGCCUCCAGGUCUCCAUGCCACCCUUAUUGUUCAUGCCUCUCCAUCCUUUUUUUUUGUUCUUGAUUUGCUUUUUGUUUUAUUGGGAAACGAGGAGCUGUUGUAACGGAGGAGAGUUGCUGGCUGUUGUUCUUGCCGAAUGGGGAGGGAGAGAGUUAUGCAUGAAUUGAUGCAAACAAAUUCUAUCAUUUCUUUUCUUUUACUGUUGGCUAAGUGUUGUGUGUUUUGAUACAUGUAAUAUGUUUUAUUGUGUUAUAUCAGUGAACUAUUUUAAAUCUUUUUAAUGGUGUACCUGCAUGUUCAAAUAAUAGAGUCUGUUGCUAGUAGUGUAUAUUGUUUAA